Molecule: ribosomal RNA, 1399 nt
Filed under: Vibrio chagasii
Lineage: Bacteria; Pseudomonadati; Pseudomonadota; Gammaproteobacteria; Vibrionales; Vibrionaceae
Description: partial 23S ribosomal RNA
Rfam family: Bacterial large subunit ribosomal RNA
Source: RNAcentral
UAACGCUGAGAUACGAUGUCGAGCUACUACGGUAGUGAAGUCAUUGAUGCCAUGCUUCCAGGAAAAGCCUCUAAGCUUCAGAUUGUAAGGAAUCGUACCCCAAACCGACACAGGUGGUCGGGUAGAGAAUACCAAGGCGCUUGAGAGAACUCGGGUGAAGGAACUAGGCAAAAUGGUACCGUAACUUCGGGAGAAGGUACGCUCUUAUCAGUGAAGUCCCUUGCGGAUGGAGCAGACGAGAGUCGCAGAUACCAGGUGGCUGCAACUGUUUAUUAAAAACACAGCACUGUGCAAAAUCGUAAGAUGACGUAUACGGUGUGACGCCUGCCCGGUGCCGGAAGGUUAAUUGAUGGGGUUAGACUUCGGUCGAAGCUCUUGAUCGAAGCCCCGGUAAACGGCGGCCGUAACUAUAACGGUCCUAAGGUAGCGAAAUUCCUUGUCGGGUAAGUUCCGACCUGCACGAAUGGCGUAAUGAUGGCCACGCUGUCUCCACCCGAGACUCAGUGAAAUUGAAAUCGCUGUGAAGAUGCAGUGUACCCGCGGCUAGACGGAAAGACCCCGUGAACCUUUACUACAGCUUGGCACUGAACAUUGAACCUACAUGUGUAGGAUAGGUGGGAGACUUUGAAACCGCGUCGCUAGAUGUGGUGGAGUCGUCCUUGAAAUACCACCCUUGUAGUUUUGAUGUUCUAACGUUGGUCCCUGAAUCGGGAUUACGGACAGUGCCUGGUGGGUAGUUUGACUGGGGCGGUCUCCUCCCAAAGAGUAACGGAGGAGCACGAAGGUGGGCUAAACACGGUUGGACAUCGUGUGGUUAGUGCAAUGGCAUAAGCCCGCUUGACUGCGAGAAUGACAAUUCGAGCAGGUGCGAAAGCAGGUCAUAGUGAUCCGGUGGUUCUGAAUGGAAGGGCCAUCGCUCAACGGAUAAAAGGUACUCCGGGGAUAACAGGCUGAUACCGCCCAAGAGUUCAUAUCGACGGCGGUGUUUGGCACCUCGAUGUCGGCUCAUCACAUCCUGGGGCUGAAGUCGGUCCCAAGGGUAUGGCUGUUCGCCAUUUAAAGUGGUACGCGAGCUGGGUUUAGAACGUCGUGAGACAGUUCGGUCCCUAUCUGCCGUGGGCGUUGGAAAAUUGAAGGGGGCUGCUCCUAGUACGAGAGGACCGGAGUGGACGAACCUCUGGUGUUCGGGUUGUCAUGCCAAUGGCAUUGCCCGGUAGCUAAGUUCGGAAUCGAUAACCGCUGAAAGCAUCUAAGCGGGAAGCGAGCCCUGAGAUGAGUUUUCCCUGACGCUUUAAGCGUCCUAAAGGGUUGUUCAAGACUAGAACGUUGAUAGGCAGGGUGUGUAAGCGCUGUGAGGCGUUGAGCUAACCUGUACUAAUUGCCCGUGAGGCUUAACCAU